This 253-nucleotide ribosomal RNA is filed under the name uncultured bacterium. RNAcentral describes it as "partial 16S ribosomal RNA". It matches the Rfam family "Bacterial small subunit ribosomal RNA", at positions 524 to 776 of the family's 1533-position model. The record is from RNAcentral.
UACGAGGGGUGCAAGCGUUGUUCGGAAUUAUUGGGCGUAAAGGGCAGGUAGGUGGUCUUGAAAGUCUGCUGUGAAAUCCCCGGGCUUAACCUGGGAAUUGCGCUUGAAACUAGCGGGCUUGAGUGUGGCAGAGGGGGGUGGAAUUCCACGUGUAGCAGUGAAAUGCGUAGAGAUGUGGAGGAACACCGAUGGCGAAGGCAGCCCCCUGGGUCAACACUGACGCUCAUGCACGAAAGCGUGGGGAGCAAACAGG